This 1008-nucleotide ribosomal RNA is filed under the name Brunneiapiospora sp. HKUCC 108. RNAcentral describes it as "SSU rRNA". It matches the Rfam family "Eukaryotic small subunit ribosomal RNA", at positions 73 to 1092 of the family's 1831-position model. Lineage: Eukaryota; Fungi; Ascomycota; Sordariomycetes; Xylariales. The record is from RNAcentral.
AUUAUCCAGCGAAACUGCGAAUGGCUCAAUAUAUCAGUUAACGGUUAUUUGAUAGUACCUUACUACAUGGAUAACCGUGGUAAUUCUAGAGCUAAUACAUGCUAAAAAUCCCGACUCACGAAGGGAUGUAUUUAUUAGAUUAAAAACCAAUGCCCUCUGGGCUCCUUGGUGAUUCAUGAUAACUUCUCGAAUCGCAUGGCCUUGCGCCGGCGAUGGUUCAUUCAAAUUUCUUCCCUAUCAACUUUCGAUGGCAGGGUAUUGGCCAAACAUGGUCGCAACGGGUAACGGAGGGUUAGGGCUCGACCCCGGAGAAGGAGCCUGAGAAACGGCUACUACAUCCAAGGAAGGCAGCAGGCGCGCAAAUUACCCAAUCCCGACACGGGGAGGUAGUGACAAUAAAUACUGAUACAGGGCUCUUUCGGGUCUUGUAAUUGGAAUGAGUACAAUUUAAAUCCCUUAACGAGGAACAAUUGGAGGGCAAGUCUGGUGCCAGCAGCCGCGGUAAUUCCAGCUCCAAUAGCGUAUAUUAAAGUUGUUGUGGUUAAAAAGCUCGUAGUUGAACCUUGGGCCUGGCUGUCCGGUCCGCCUCACCGCGUGUACUGGUUCGGCCGGGCCUUUCCCUCUGUGGAACCUCAUGCCCUUCACUGGGCGUGACGGGGAAACAGGACUUUUACUGUGAAAAAAUUAGAGUGCUCCAGGCAGGCCUAUGCUCGAAUACAUUAGCAUGGAAUAAUGAAAUAGGACGUGCGGUUCUAUUUUGUUGGUUUCUAGGACCGCCGUAAUGAUUAAUAGGGACAGUCGGGGGCAUCAGUAUUCAAUUGUCAGAGGUGAAAUUCUUGGAUUUAUUGAAGACUAACUACUGCGAAAGCAUUUGCCAAGGAUGUUUUCAUUAAUCAGGAACGAAAGUUAGGGGAUCGAAGACGAUCAGAUACCGUCGUAGUCUUAACCAUAAACUAUGCCGACUAGGGAUCGGACGAAGUAAUUAAUUGAAUCGUUCGGCACCUUCCG